This is an RNA transcript of Hemiscyllium ocellatum (epaulette shark), 1529 nucleotides long. It is a transcript of the gene named histone H4, with no coding region annotated. The transcript is spliced from 4 exons. NCBI's taxonomy places the organism in Eukaryota, Metazoa, Chordata, Chondrichthyes, Orectolobiformes, Hemiscylliidae. The record is from RefSeq and is a predicted model, not a curated record.
AUACUCGCUGGACCAAGACAAUCUAAUAUAUACUCAGUACAAAGCCAAGUGUGACCAACUGCUUCUCCCAGACACCAGGCAAAUAUUCAAUGGCCCAAGACAAUGUAAUAUGACCUCGAUAUAAAGCCAAGUGUGAGCAGCUGCUCCUCCCAAACAGCAGUCAGGUCGGGCCGGGCUGUAUAAAAAAGGAAGGGCAGGCAGCUCGGCUCUCAUUCAGCAGCGAUUGGAGUGAAGAAGCGUGAUGUCUGGAAGAGGUAAAGGAGGUAAAGGCCUGGGAAAAGGCGGAGCGAAGCGGCACCGUAAAGUGCUCCGUGAUAACAUCCAGGGCAUCACGAAACCAGCCAUCCGGCGCCUGGCUCGCCGUGGCGGGGUCAAGCGCAUCUCGGGCUUGAUCUACGAGGAGACCCGCGGGGUGCUGAAGGUUUUCCUGGAGAAUGUGAUCAGGGAUGCGGUCACCUACACUGAGCACGCCAAGCGCAAGACGGUCACCGCCAUGGAUGUGGUGUACGCUCUGAAACGCCAGGGCCGCACUCUCUAUGGAUUCGGCGGCUGAGCAUCAAGCGACCCUUUUCCAGCGAACCCAAAGGCUCUUUUCAGAGCCAUCCCAAAUCUUCCCAUUGAGAGCGGAGACCUGAGGCCGGAGAGGGCACAGAGGGAGCGGAUGGUGUUCUGUACCAGAUUUCUGCUUCAUCCGCCAAACCGGAGAGGGCUCGGGCUGGAGGGCGGAACCUCCCGGCACCACAUCAUCAACCGCUUUCUUUCCAAUUUGAAAAGCCCGCCAAUUUAAAGAAAGGAAAAUGUUUUCGAUUGAAAGAUCAGGUACAAAAUAUUGAGGAAGUUUCACAAAGAAUAAUUCCUAGUCCUCAUAUGUUAAUUUCCCAUUAAGAAUACCAAUGUAUACUUUACACGAUCUCUGUCUCCCUCAUUUGCCCACCCACAUCUAUCCUUUUCUGAUCUUGACAGUGGGUUAUUGAAGCUGAAACUAAACCGGCCAAACACUGCAGUCUGCAACUUGUCUUUUCACUUCACAUUUCAAUAGCACCCACGACAUGCUGAUAAAACAGCACACAACGUUCUUCCGGCUCAGCGUACCAACUGGAAACACCGUUUUUAGACUAUGUUUGAAAGUCUUCCUCUCUUCUUGCUGGAGAUUAGAUCCAACAAAAGCACCACAAUUCCCAUUUCAGUCCGGCACCUGUUUUGGUGUUAUCUCGGUUCACUUUGAAAGCCUCUCACUGACAGCUGGAGGAAGGGCUUUUAUUGCAAUCCUGAAAAAUUCCAUUCACCCCGCGCAUUGGAAAUGAAAAUAAAAUGCAGAUGUUAAAAGGCAUCUGUCCGUGGGACUGAAGAAUGUGGGCGCUUAUGUUUUGCUUUCAAUGAGUGAAAUUAAAUGUGAACAAUCCACCUCGGCGUUUUAGUAACUUGAACAAAUAAAUGAGAACUGACUCUGGGGUUUAAUCUGCUGUCUCUCUACAGACAAGGGAGAGGUUGUUUAUGAAGGCCUCACCCCGUCCAUCCAACACCCCGCC